AAAGAGGGUAGAAGAGAGGCAUUAUCUUCGUCAGUCAUUACACUUCAUUUUUUGAUUCCAUUUUUGUGUGGUUGCGUCCGAACAUAAGCUACGUAUUUCCACAGUCACGCAAAUACUCGCGGAGCUCUUGAGCUGAACGUGGAGGAAAAAGUGGAACAGCCAGAAGUCGAUGCAAAAGAUGAAGAAGAAAUACACCAUGGAGAGAGAAAAAAUGGAACGCUUCUGGAGGGAAAGACUAGCAUUGACGGUCAAGGCACCCAUCGAACGAUUUAUGUCAAUUGUUCAACAGCGGGCAUAACGUGCCGCACAGUAAUGUGUGAUCUUAACAUGUCAAAAACAUCUGGAGAAGUAGAAAUUUCAAUUCUAGAUAUGAUAUUUGACCUACAGCCGUUACUUACAUCCAACGGAUAUUCUUUCAUCAGCUUCAGCACCGACGCGCGAGCACUAAUCCUUGAACCGAUAUUAUUGAACACGAUGAAUGGUUCGCGCUUCGUAGAGGCUAAAGGGUCCACGGUACCUAAUCGACAAUUCGCCGGAGACUCAGACAUUGGCGGGUUUGGUCUUACCAGUUUCGUUAUGCGUUGGCCUUCUAUCAGUCGUCCUUAAUUCUGCUCAUCGUUAUGUUGAAAGUUGGUUUCUUCAACAGACCAAAGAAGGCCAUGAUCGCUUCGGUACAAAAAAUGACGUUGAAGUUGAAGGAGGACGACGGCUACGAAGAACUUAAUCUCCACGAGUAAUCGAAUAAAAUAUGUCGAGAUCUUCACGUAAAGACAUUACCUAUAAUUGUCAUAACGAAGUUCGUAUGUAUGUGUCUCGCGCAGUUUUCCACUGGCUGAUCACAAACGCCUACUACAUCUCUAAAUUGAGACUUCAUCAGUUUUUACAUUAUACAUAUUCGAUAUAAAUACGGAGUUCUAGAGAAACUAUGUAGAAGAAUAAUAAUAAAAUGUCUGACUAUCAUCG
RNAcentral lists this long non-coding RNA (963 nucleotides) under Neodiprion pinetum (white pine sawfly). Its description in RNAcentral is "uncharacterized LOC124219812, transcript variant X2". The record is from RNAcentral. Lineage: Eukaryota; Metazoa; Arthropoda; Insecta; Hymenoptera; Diprionidae.